AUUGAAGGCCAGUAGAUGGUUAGAGGCGGAUUUAGGAUCUGCAGUUGAUGGAUACAUAUCUCGAGAAUACUGAGUCCAGCUGAACCCAUAGCACAAAAGCUUCAUAAGCCAGCAAUUAUUGAUGUGAUGGCAACGCAUUUAUUCUUUGACAGUACUCUAGAGCUAGUUCUUAAAGGGAUGGGUAAAAGAUGUAUAAAAAUUGUACUAACUUCUUUUGUAUUGUAUUAUUUAUUUGUAUUUAUA
This 243-nucleotide unclassified non-coding RNA is filed under the name Hevea brasiliensis (rubber tree). The record is from RNAcentral. Lineage: Eukaryota; Viridiplantae; Streptophyta; Magnoliopsida; Malpighiales; Euphorbiaceae.